UGGCAACAAUGAUAUCCUUGUUAAAAUACAGAAAACCUGGAACAAAAUCCAGACAUUGUCCUUCCAGAAUGACUUUAACACUGAAGUAAGGAAGAAUGCCAUCUGACAGACUCCUGUUUUCAAAAUAAUGAACAGUUUGGAGAAAGAUUAAUGAAGGCUGAAGCAAUGUUGUAAACUUUCCCCAUUUUUUAAGGCUCCAUUUUCAUAAAGGAAUGUUAAACAGACUGCCCUCCGACUCCCAGUUUGGUCUGGACAAGCUGCAGCAGUUUCAGGAGAUCAGCGGGUGGGAGGAGCGAGAGGUCAGGGGUUACUCCCACACCCCUGCCCAUCCCCUUCUUGCUUGGCCCUGGUUUGGGCAGCCUCUCUCUCACAGCCAUGAGCCUGAUAAGGUUCUGACAAGCACUCAGUAAAACAUUGAAGGCAUGAAUGCAGAAAUGAAUGACUUAUCGAAUGCCAGUGUUGCUCAGUCCCUCUUUGAAACACCAAUAUCUGAGCAAACCCAAGCUGGCACUUUGGACUUGGUGGAGUGAUAUCAGUUUUGCCCAGGAGAAAAGCAACUCAAGCUGCCAUGUUGUGAAAAAGCCCAAGAAGCCAUGAGGACAGGCUUCGGGAGGAGAGGAAUGAGGCUUCUGGCCGACAGCCUUAGUUGAGAUCCCAGCUUACAGCCAGCACUAACUUGACAGCCUUGCAAGUGAGUCAUCUUGGAAGUGGACUGUCCAUCCACAGUGGAGCUGCCCCAGCUGAGGCUAUAUGGAGCAGAGACAAACUGUCCCCAAUGAAUCCUGACCAAAUUACAGAAUUUUGAGCAAAUAAGUGAUUGCUGUUAAGUUGCGUUGUUUCUGGGAGGCUAAUCUGUGGCAGUAGAUAACUGAUAAUACAAUCAUUCUCAUUCCUGACUGUAAAUACAUCAUCAAAAGAAAUUGACAGCAAAUCAACUCAAUGCUCUGUUGAUGCUUGACAAAUGUAAAUCUCUCCCACCAAAGGUAUAAUUAGAUCUUGAGAACAAGCAGGAGCUCAAGUGUUAGGUGAGGAUCAAUUGGCACUUUUCCAGUGGGAGCAAUAGUGUCAUCUCCUCCUUCCCCUCCUUCCUUUUCCCUUUUCUGACACGUAUUCAUGGGCCACUGACAGUUAACAAGACACACAGAGUUCCUGCACUGAUAGGGCAUGUUUAUCCUCCAACCACUUCAAUUCUUUCUUAGGAUGUCAUCACCUUUGAUGGAUUGAAGUCUGAUUUACUUUCUCAAAACCCCUUACACAGUAUUAAAUUGUUGAGAAAUGACCGAAAAAUGGCUGGGCAGCAAGAAAGAGUGUCAUUAGCCCAUUUUCAAAGACAAUGACUGACACAGAUGAGGAGAAUUGAGAUCUCACACAUGCUACAUUCAUAUUUACCAGAUGAUUCAUCCACACUUAUACUAACUGAGGGUGGAAAAGCUCUGUACUUCCCUCAGUGGGUGUCAUGUCUCUCAAUGGUCCUGUGACUCCAGACUUCCCUGUGGAAUGUUUCCUGGCACCUCCUGGCUGUAAGGCACAGUGCUUUUCCGUACUCAUCAAGUCUGUGAGGCCUCUCCAGAGACCACACAUGCCUUGCUGUGUGAGAGUGUAGGUGGAUUUUCAUAGCUGGGGCAGGCCUGAGCGGGGAAGCAGCUUUUGGCUCUAGCUGAAGAAGAAAAUAAAAUAGGUGGAGAUUCUAGGUUCCUCCUAUGCUUAGCCAACGAC
Molecule: non-coding RNA, 1716 nt
Organism: Odocoileus virginianus texanus
Lineage: Eukaryota; Metazoa; Chordata; Mammalia; Artiodactyla; Cervidae
Source: RefSeq, a predicted model, not a curated record